UCUCCGUUGGUGAACCAGCGGAGGGAUCAUUACAGAGGUAUCACAAAUCUCAACCCUUGCGAAUCGAAUCUAUUCUGUGCUCGUUGCAUCAAGCGGGGGGGCCGAGGGGGAUCGAAACGGUAUCAUCGUACCACCAGCCGUGGGCGGAGGGCAUCUCGAAGCUUUAUCUUUCAUCCAGAACAAACCGUCUGAGAAAAGCACAAAUCUAAUCAAAACUUACAAAAACGAAUCUCUUCGCUCUUGCUUCGAUGAAGAAAGCAGAAGAACGGAAGAGCAAAC
Molecule: unclassified non-coding RNA, 279 nt
Filed under: plant metagenome
Description: partial contains small subunit ribosomal RNA, internal transcribed spacer 1, and 5.8S ribosomal RNA
Source: RNAcentral